CCUACGGGUGGCAGCAGUGAGGAAUAUUGGUCAAUGGGCGCGAGCCUGAACCAGCCAAGUCGCGUGAGGGAAGACGGUCCUAUGGAUUGUAAACCUCUUUUGUCGGGGAGCAAAAGACGCCACGCGUGGCGUUCCGAGAGUACCCUAAGAACAAGCAUCGGCUAACUCCGUGCCAGCAGCCGCGGUAAUACGGAGGAUGCGAGCGUUAUCCGGAUUUAUUGGGGUUAAAGGGUGCGCAGGCGGAAGAAUAAGUCAGCGGUAAAAUUGAGAGGCUCAACCUCUUCGAGCCGUUGAAACUGGUGUUCUUGAGUGAGCGAGAAGUAGGCGGAAUGCGUGGAGUAGCGGUGAAAUGCAUAGAUAUCACGCAGAACUCCGAUAGCGAAGGCAGCAUACCGGAGCGCAACUGACGCUCAUGCACGAAAGUGUGGGUAUCGAACAGGAUUAGAUACCCCUGUAGUC
Molecule: ribosomal RNA, 459 nt
Filed under: uncultured bacterium
Lineage: Bacteria
Description: partial 16S ribosomal RNA
Rfam family: Bacterial small subunit ribosomal RNA
Source: RNAcentral